Molecule: ribosomal RNA, 274 nt
Filed under: uncultured bacterium
Lineage: Bacteria
Description: partial 16S ribosomal RNA
Rfam family: Bacterial small subunit ribosomal RNA
Source: RNAcentral
AUACGGAGGGGGUUAGCGUUGUUCGGAAUUACUGGGCGUAAAGCGCACGUAGGCGGACUGGAAAGUUGGGGGUGAAAUCCCGGGGCUCAACCCCGGAACUGCCUCCAAAACUUCCAAUCUAGAGAUCGAGAGAGGUGAGUGGAAUUCCAAGUGUAGAGGUGAAAUUCGUAGAUAUUUGGAGGAACACCAGUGGCGAAGGCGGCUCACUGGCUCGAUACUGACGCUGAGGUGCGAAAGCGUGGGGAGCAAACAGGAUUAGAUACCAGAGUAGUCC